GACGAACGCUGGCGGCGUGCCUAAUACAUGCAAGUCGAACGAGAGCGACCGGUGCUUGCACUGGUCAAUCUAGUGGCGAACGGGUGAGUAACACGUGGGUAACCUGCCCAUCAGAGGGGGAUAACAUCCGGAAACGGAUGCUAAAACCGCAUAGGUCUUCGAGCCGCAUGGCUUGAAGAGGAAAAGAGGCGCAAGCUUCUGCUGAUGGAUGGACCCGCGGUGCAUUAGCUAGUUGGUGAGGUAACGGCUCACCAAGGCCGUGAUGCAUAGCCGACCUGAGAGGGUGAUCGGCCACAUUGGGACUGAGACACGGCCCAAACUCCUACGGGAGGCAGCAGUAGGGAAUCUUCCGCAAUGGACGCAAGUCUGACGGAGCAACGCCGCGUGAGUGAAGAAGGUGUUCGGAUCGUAAAACUCUGUUGUUAGAGAAGAACAAGUGCUAGAGUAACUGUUAGCGCUUUGACGGUAUCUAACCAGAAAGCCACGGCUAACUACGUG
Molecule: ribosomal RNA, 498 nt
Filed under: uncultured bacterium
Lineage: Bacteria
Description: partial 16S ribosomal RNA
Rfam family: Bacterial small subunit ribosomal RNA
Source: RNAcentral